AUUUUGGAUAAUGGGGGCAACCCUGAUCCAGCCAUCCCGCGUGUGCGAUGAAGGCCUUCGGGUUGUAAAGUACUUUUGGCAGGGAAGAUAAGGACCGGCCUAACACCAGGCGCCGCCUCCGCUACCCCCCGAUUCAGCACCGCUUAAACACUCUCCUUGAGCCGCGGUAAUACGUAGGGUGCAUGCGUAAACCGGAAUCACGGGGCGUAAACCGUGCGCAGGCGGUUCGGCAAAAAGGAUGUGAAAACCCGGGGCUUAACCUCGGAACUGCAUUUUUAAAUGCCGAGCUAGAGUAUGUCAGAGGGGGGUAGAAUUCCACGUGUAGCAGUGAAAUGCGUAGAUAUGUGGAGGAAUACCGAUGGCGAAGGCAGCCCCCUGGGAUAAUACUGACGCUCAGACACGAAAGCGUGGGGAGCAAACA
This 421-nucleotide ribosomal RNA is filed under the name uncultured bacterium. Its description in RNAcentral is "partial 16S ribosomal RNA". It matches the Rfam family "Bacterial small subunit ribosomal RNA", at positions 361 to 774 of the family's 1533-position model. The record is from RNAcentral.